CUUCGGGAUAGCGUCUCGAAAGGGGCGAUGAUACCGGAUGCUGUCAUUGAGCGACAGUUCAAUGAUGAAAGGGUAACCGGCACAGGAGCGGCCUGCCUCCUAUCAGCUUGUUGGUGAGGUAAAAGCUCACCAAGGCAACGACGGGUAGCGGGACUGAGUGGUUGACCCGCCACAUCGGGACUGAGACACUGCCCGGACCCCCACGGGGGGCUGCAGUAACGAAUCUUCCACAAUGGGCGAAAGCCUGAUGGAGCGACGCCGCGUGCGGGAAGAAGUCCUUCGGGAUGUAAACCGCUGUCAGGGACAAGAAACUCCCGGUUCGCCGGGAUUGAUCUACCCCUGAGGAAGUCACGGCUAACUUCGUGCCAGCAGCCGCGGUAAGACGAAGGUGGCUAGCGUUGUUCGGUAUCACUGGGCUUAAAGGGUAUGUAGGCUGAAUGGAAAGCGUCGUGUGAAAGCCCUCGGCUUAACCGAGGAAUUGCUCGGCGAACUUCCAUUCUUGAGGCAAACAGGGGUGCGCGGAACUCUUGGUGGAGCGGUGGAAUGCGUAGAUAUCAAGAGGAACGCCGGUGGCGAAAGCGGCGCACUAGGUUUGCACUGACGCUGAAGUACGAAAGCGUGGGGAGCGAACGGGAUUAGAUACCCCGGUAGUCCACGCCGUAAACGAUGUGUACUAGGCUGUGGUAGUUCUGACACUUUCACGGCCGAAGCAAAAGCGUUAAGUACACCGCCUGGGGACUACGGUCGCAAGGCUAAAACUCAAAGGAAUUGACGGGGGCUCACACAAGCGGUGGAGCAUGUGGAUUAAUUCGAAGCAACGCGCAGAACCUUACCUGGGUUUGACAUGCAUGUAUGGCUUCCUGGAAACAGGAUAGUCUGCCCUUCGGGGU
RNAcentral lists this ribosomal RNA (890 nucleotides) under uncultured organism. Its description in RNAcentral is "bacterial SSU rRNA". It matches the Rfam family "Bacterial small subunit ribosomal RNA", at positions 136 to 1026 of the family's 1533-position model. The record is from RNAcentral.